AUGACCGUGACGCUCGAGGAUGUCUCGUUGAUCACCGAUCUUGCUAUCGACGGGAGGCCUCUAUGUAUGAGCACCGAUUCUGAUGGGUGGCGCGAGCAGAUGAUUGCUCUUAUCGGUAUGGCUCCUACCGAGGAGGAGGGAGAAGAGAAGAAGAAGAGGGAAAGGAAGGCAGCCGGAGCUGCUUUCACGUGGAUUCAAAAUAACUUUGCGACGUGCCCUCCGGAUGCAACUGAUGAUGUGAUCCAGACACAUGUUCGUGUGUAUAUGUGGUACAUUGUGUCGAGGACUUUGUUUCCUGACUCCACUGGCAAGAACGCUCCAUGGAUGUGGCUGAAGGCGUUGACCGUCUUCGAUAGCAAAUGGAACUGGGGUUCAGCGACUCUUGCCUACUUGUACCGACAGGUAGUUGGUCUAUUUUGUGAUCAACUCAUUUAUUCAUUAGCAAUGCAAGCUUGCUGUCAAGUUAACAUUGUUUUUCUUUCAUAUGUAGCUGGAUGA
This 498-nucleotide ribosomal RNA is filed under the name Triticum aestivum (bread wheat). RNAcentral describes it as "partial small subunit ribosomal RNA". The record is from RNAcentral. Lineage: Eukaryota; Viridiplantae; Streptophyta; Magnoliopsida; Poales; Poaceae.